GCCACUGUGGUGUAGUGGUUUAAGCAUUUGACUACAACUCUGGAGACCAGGGUUCAAUUCCCCACUUGGCC
This 71-nucleotide transfer RNA is filed under the name Phrynosoma platyrhinos (Desert horned lizard). RNAcentral's name for it is "tRNA-OTHER". Lineage: Eukaryota; Metazoa; Chordata; Lepidosauria; Squamata; Phrynosomatidae. The record is from RNAcentral.